RNAcentral lists this ribosomal RNA (924 nucleotides) under uncultured Bacteroidota bacterium. Its description in RNAcentral is "bacterial SSU rRNA". It matches the Rfam family "Bacterial small subunit ribosomal RNA", at positions 1 to 916 of the family's 1533-position model. Lineage: Bacteria; Pseudomonadati; Bacteroidota. The record is from RNAcentral.
GGAUCCAGACUUUGAUUCUGGCUCAGGAUGAACGCUAGCUACAGGCUUAACACAUGCAAGUCGAGGGGAAACGAUAUUGGAAGCUUGCUUCCGAUAGGCGUCGACCGGCGCACGGGUGAGUAACGCGUAUCCAACCUGCCCAUCACUUGGGGAUAACCUUGCGAAAGUAAGACUAAUACCCAAUGACGUCUCUAGAAGACAUCUGAAAGAGAUUAAAGAUUUAUCGGUGAUGGAUGGGGAUGCGUCUGAUUAGCUUGUUGGCGGGGUAACGGCCCACCAAGGCGACGAUCAGUAGGGGUUCUGAGAGGAAGGUCCCCCACAUUGGAACUGAGACACGGUCCAAACUCCUACGGGAGGCAGCAGUGAGGAAUAUUGGUCAAUGGGCGAGAGCCUGAACCAGCCAAGUAGCGUGCAGGAUGACGGCCCUAUGGGUUGUAAACUGCUUUUAUAAGGGAAUAAAGUGAGUCUCGUGAGACUUUUUGCAUGUACCCUAUGAAUAAGGACCGGCUAAUUCCGUGCCAGCAGCCGCGGUAAUACGGAAGGUCCGGGCGUUAUCCGGAUUUAUUGGGUUUAAAGGGAGCGUAGGCCGGAGAUUAAGCGUGUUGUGAAAUGUAGACGCUCAACGUCUGCACUGCAGCGCGAACUGGUUUCCUUGAGUACGCACAAAGUGGGCGGAAUUCGUGGUGUAGCGGUGAAAUGCUUAGAUAUCACGAAGAACUCCGAUUGCGAAGGCAGCUCACUGGAGCGCAACUGACGCUGAAGCUCGAAAGUGCGGGUAUCGAACAGGAUUAGAUACCCUGGUAGUCCGCACGGUAAACGAUGGAUGCCCGCUGUUGGUCUGAAUAGGUCAGCGGCCAAGCGAAAGCAUUAAGCAUCCCACCUGGGGAGUACGCCGGCAACGGUGCAACUCAAAUGAAUUGACGG